Raphanus sativus (radish) is the source of this 624-nucleotide long non-coding RNA. RefSeq lists it as uncharacterized. The record is from RefSeq and is a predicted model, not a curated record. The transcript has 2 exons. NCBI's taxonomy places the organism in Eukaryota, Viridiplantae, Streptophyta, Magnoliopsida, Brassicales, Brassicaceae.
UUGAACUAUACCAUCUCUGUCUCCAUCUCUUUUUCUUUCCUCUUGCCCUCUCUCCUUAACUCACGGCUCAUUUCAAUUUCUUGCCCUAAUCGACCGUUCUCCUCCUCUGCUAAUCUCAAAGUCUCUUUACUCGAAUCCUCGAUCUGCAAUUUGAGCAACAUGAUAACAGAAACAGAUUUCCUGAGUAGGUUGCACUGGCGCCUGUGUGAAGUAAAUGUCGAAAGAAGACAGUGGCCUGUGUUGGAAACGAGUUGAAUCAAUGGCAGAAACUGACUCAAUCUCUGUAACUCGAUUCACGAUGGUGUCUAGCAGAUUCUUUAAUGGAAGAAACUGAAUGAAAUCGUCAUCUCCGCUUUUCAUCAAUGGCGGAAAGAGUAGUUGAGAACAUGACCACUUUUUUCUAGCUACACAAGCUCCUUGACGGGACAUGGUUGAAAUAAUGCUGGGAAAUUCAACAAUAACAUGAAAAUUAGUUAGAAUCUUGUGAUGCAUGAGUAGUUUCUUGGAGUUAUGAUUCACCAUGUAAUCUGCUAUUGUUCAUCAUCAUAGCAUGUCAGCAACCUGUGUUUGAAGUUGGUGGAACCUGUUAUUUGUAUUCUUUGAUUUAACUCUACUUAUUUUACA